CUUAGUACAAGAAAGAAUGUAAAAUAGCUCGCUAAUGCGGUUUUAUGUGGAUUACAUGUCGAAGUGGUAAUAUAUUAGGUAUGUUGGGUUAAACAGUAUAUUACUAAAAUUAAUUUCAUUUGUUGCUUGCUACUUUAAGUAGGUACAGCGCUAGUCCACAGGUUCUGCAGGAAGUAAGUGGCUUCUUUUGCUCUUCUAGUCUCACCAAGGGAAGAAACAGAAUGUGGGUUUCCUGUGGGGACAUCACACCUGGGAAAAUUACACCUAAGAAUUACACAGCAAGAGCAGGGUUUCUUGGACUGUCCAAAGACCUUAGAGACCUGCCUUCUAACAGCCCACUUUACCCUUCUGACACCUCCACCCCCUCAGUAAUGGACAGAGGUUCUUCCUGAAGAUGGGGGCCGAUGCUUGUUCAAUGCAUUUCUGCUGACCUCUGACAUCCUGUGAUGAGAGGUAGCACAGUGCCGGGCAUACGACAGACACCUGACUAUUCGAUUCCGGCCUCAGGGUCUGGCCAGGCAGACCCCAGCUCCCUGCGUGGCACUCACAGACCUAUCACAGAACCUGGGACACAGUGGAAGUGUGACAAAUGUCUGUCCAGUGGUCAAAUAAAUGAAUGAAAAGAGA
This is a long non-coding RNA of Pteropus alecto (black flying fox), 627 nucleotides long. RefSeq lists it as uncharacterized. The transcript has 3 exons. The record is from RefSeq and is a predicted model, not a curated record. Lineage: Eukaryota; Metazoa; Chordata; Mammalia; Chiroptera; Pteropodidae.